Molecule: long non-coding RNA, 259 nt
Organism: Coregonus clupeaformis (lake whitefish)
Lineage: Eukaryota; Metazoa; Chordata; Actinopteri; Salmoniformes; Salmonidae
Exons: 3
Source: RefSeq, a predicted model, not a curated record
CUUGGUGCCAUCAAGAAUCAACUGUCUCGUCAAUUCAGGACCACUCAAACCACCUACCAGAAUGCAAUUUAUAGCAAACUUACAGAUACUUCAUUUGCCAUCGACCUUGGUUUCAAAAUCACCAACGUAACCCUGGAGUCUCUAAGUAAUAGACUCACAUUCACCAAUGAGACCUACGUCCAGAUACAGGAUUCAAUUAACAGACUACUCCAUACAAUUCUCAGUGAACCAGACGGCAAACAGUUUCCCUUUCCCAAAG